GCCGGAGUGGCGGAACGGCAGACGCAGCCGGCUUAAACCCGGCAGCCGCAAGGCGUGGGGGUUCGAAUCCCUCCUCCGGCACCA
This 84-nucleotide transfer RNA is filed under the name Chloroflexota bacterium. Its description in RNAcentral is "Chloroflexi bacterium tRNA-Leu". It matches the Rfam family "tRNA". From Rfam's summary of the family: Transfer RNA (tRNA) molecules are approximately 80 nucleotides in length. Their secondary structure includes four short double-helical elements and three loops (D, anti-codon, and T loops). Lineage: Bacteria; Bacillati; Chloroflexota. The record is from RNAcentral.